UACGUAGGGGGCGAGCGUUGUCCGGAAUCAUUGGGCGUAAAGCGCGUGUAGGCGGCUCGAUAAGUCCGGUGUGAAACCUUGGGGCUCAACCCCAAGCCUGCACUGGAUACUGUCGAGCUAGAGUCCGGGAGGGGAGAGCGGAAUUCCUAGUGUAGCGGUGAAAUGCGCAGAUAUUAGGAAGAACACCGGUGGCGAAGGCGGGUCUCUGGGCAAUUCCUGACGCUGAGGCGCGAAAGCGUGGGGAGCAAACGGG
RNAcentral lists this ribosomal RNA (253 nucleotides) under uncultured bacterium. Its description in RNAcentral is "partial 16S ribosomal RNA". It matches the Rfam family "Bacterial small subunit ribosomal RNA", at positions 524 to 776 of the family's 1533-position model. The record is from RNAcentral.